This 766-nucleotide non-coding RNA is filed under the name Nomia chalybeata. Lineage: Eukaryota; Metazoa; Arthropoda; Insecta; Hymenoptera; Halictidae. The record is from RNAcentral.
AUAUAUAUAUAUAUAAUAUUUAAUAUAUUAUUAAAAAUAAAUUUUAUAAAAAUUUAAUUAUAUUUAAAUUAGAAAUUAAUUUUAUUUAUAUUAAUUAAAAUUAUAUAUAGAAAUUUAAUUUAAGUAAAAGUUAAUUAAGUGCCAGCAUCUGCGGUUAAACUUUUUUUAUUAGUUAAUUUUUAAAAAUUUUAAAUAUUUAAAUUUAUAAAAUUAAUUUAAAUUAAUUUUUUUUUAGUGAAAUAUUUAAUAAAAUUAAUUAAUUUAAUUUUUAGAAUAAUUAAUUUAUAAAAGUUUAUAUGUAAACUAGGAUUAGAUACCCUAUUAUUAAAAAUUAAAAUAAAAUUAUUUUAAAAUUAAAUGUAAAUCAUUAAAGUUAAAUAAUUUGGCGGUUAAAUAUAUUCAUAUUAGGGGAACUUGUAAAUUUAUUUGAUAAUCCACGAUAAGAUUUACUAUAAAUUAAGAUUAUGUAUUGUCGUUUAUUAAUGAAUUUAAAUUUAAUUUUAAUUUUAUAAUACAUUUAAUUAUUUUGAUUUUUAAUAAUUAUGUAGAAAUUCAGAUCAAAAUAUAUUUUUUUAUAGGUUAUAUGAGUUACAUUAAAUUAAAUUUAAUUUGAAUUAUAAAUUUUAAUAUUUAUAUGAAAUAGAAUUUAAUAGUAAAUUUAAAUAAAAUUUUAUUUAUUGAAAUAGUUUUAUUUAAUGUACAAAUCGCCCGUCACCUUCAUAAAAAAUGGAGAAAGUCGUAACAAAGUAAGUGUAUUGGAAAAUGU